AUGAGGUUUCACCUUGCUGGCCAGGCUGGUCUUGAACUCCUGGUUCGAGACCAGCCUGGCCAGCAAGGUGAAACCCCGU
Molecule: microRNA precursor, 79 nt
Organism: Homo sapiens (human)
Lineage: Eukaryota; Metazoa; Chordata; Mammalia; Primates; Hominidae
Rfam family: mir-1285 microRNA precursor family
Source: Rfam